This 493-nucleotide long non-coding RNA is filed under the name Zostera marina. RNAcentral describes it as "long non-coding RNA (ZMAR_LNC000799)". Lineage: Eukaryota; Viridiplantae; Streptophyta; Magnoliopsida; Alismatales; Zosteraceae. The record is from RNAcentral.
AAGUCAUCAACUGCUGCUGCGACGACUUCUACAGUUUCUGGGAAGAGAAAGGGUACUGGUCUUGUCGCAAAGAUUGUUGCAAAAGCUCGUAAGAAAUCUUCGAAAGAUUCACCUGCGGCGAAGAAGGUGGCUAAAGCAGUUCAGAUUUUGAAGAAAGCGAGUCCUUUGAAGAAGAAGAAGAAGAAGAAACCAAUUCUGGUUUUGAAGAAAGCAGCAAGUCCAUCAAAGAAGAAAGGGAGUUCGCCGAAGAUCAGUCCUCCCAAGAAAACUACCAUAGCGAAGAAAGCCGCUCCUCCUGUCAAGAAGACCAGAGCAGCAACUCCAGUUAAGAAAGCUGCUGCAGCUCCUAAGAAGUCAAAGAAAGUGGUAGCUGAAAAACCUCCGGCAAAGCGAGCGGGUCCGGCGAGGAAGGUGAAGAAGUGAAGAAGAAGUUCUUGGUUGGCAAAGUUGUUAAUUUUUCAUUUCGAUUUAGGUUUUCUAAUAUCAUUUUUUU